RNAcentral lists this ribosomal RNA (253 nucleotides) under uncultured bacterium. RNAcentral's name for it is "partial 16S ribosomal RNA". It matches the Rfam family "Bacterial small subunit ribosomal RNA", at positions 524 to 776 of the family's 1533-position model. The record is from RNAcentral.
UACGUAGGGUGCAAGCGUUGUCCGGAAUUAUUGGGCGUAAAGAGCUCGUAGGCGGCUUGUCACGUCGACUGUGAAAACCCGGGGCUCAACUCCGGGCCUGCAGUCGAUAGGGGCUGGCUUGAGUGCGGUAGGGGAGACUGGAAUUCCUGGUGUAGCGGUGAAGUGCGCAGAUAUCAGGAGGAACACCGGUGGCGAAGGCGGGUCUCUGGGCCGUAACUGACGCUGAGGAGCGAAAGCGUGGGGAGCGAACAGG